RNAcentral lists this ribosomal RNA (345 nucleotides) under Acidobacteria bacterium enrichment culture clone C31_08_H22. RNAcentral's name for it is "bacterial SSU rRNA". It matches the Rfam family "Bacterial small subunit ribosomal RNA", at positions 15 to 354 of the family's 1533-position model. The record is from RNAcentral. Lineage: Bacteria; Pseudomonadati; Acidobacteriota.
GAUCCUGGCUCAGAAUCAACGCUGGCGGCGUGCCUCAGACAUGCAAGUCGAACGAUUAAAGCUCUCUUCGGAGAGUGUAUAGAGUGGCGCACGGGUGAGUAACACGUAAGUAAUCUACCCUCGAGUGGGGAAUAACGUUCGGAAACGAACGCUAAUACCGCAUAAUGCAGCGGCAUCGCAAGAUGACAGUUGUUAAAGGAGUAAUUCGCUUGAGGAGGAGCUUGCGGCAGAUUAGCUUGUUGGUAAGGUAACGGCUUACCAAGGCUACGAUCUGUAUCCGGUCUAAGAGGACGGUCGGACACACUGACACUGAAUAACGGGUCAGACUCCUACGGGAGGCAGCAG